AAGAACCUCAUCCUGAUACAAAUGAAGAUCUGGUCGUUUGAGAUCAGAUGAAAGAAAAAGCCCCUCAGCAACUCCUCUACACCCCUACAAUCCUGUUAGGAGCAGAAGGAAAACCCUUACCCUAACACAAAAAAGAAGAAAAAGCGAUGAGCUACACCAAAAAAAAAUGAACUACAUCCAAGGUUCAAGGAACCUCAUCUCA
This 202-nucleotide long non-coding RNA is filed under the name Elaeis guineensis (African oil palm). RNAcentral's name for it is "long non-coding RNA (EGUI_LNC078074)". Lineage: Eukaryota; Viridiplantae; Streptophyta; Magnoliopsida; Arecales; Arecaceae. The record is from RNAcentral.